RNAcentral lists this ribosomal RNA (256 nucleotides) under uncultured bacterium. RNAcentral's name for it is "partial 16S ribosomal RNA". It matches the Rfam family "Bacterial small subunit ribosomal RNA", at positions 524 to 776 of the family's 1533-position model. The record is from RNAcentral.
UACGUAGGGUGCAAGCGUUGUCCGGAAUUAUUGGGCGUAAAGAGCUCGUAGGCGGUUCGUCGCGUCGGCUGUGAAAACCUGAGGCUCAACCUCAGGCCUGCAGUCGAUACGGGCGAGCUAGAGUUCGGCAGGGGAGACUGGAAUUCCUGGUGUAGCGGUGGAAUGCGCAGAUAUCAGGAGGAACACCGGUGGCGAAGGCGGGGUCUCUGGGGCCGAUACUGACACUGAGAAGCGAAAGCGUGGGGGAGCGAACAGG